This is an RNA transcript of Vitis riparia (riverbank grape), 2019 nucleotides long. RefSeq lists it as uncharacterized. NCBI's taxonomy places the organism in Eukaryota, Viridiplantae, Streptophyta, Magnoliopsida, Vitales, Vitaceae. The transcript is spliced from 11 exons. The record is from RefSeq and is a predicted model, not a curated record.
AGAGGAUCGGAAUAAGAAAAGCUGAAUCGUGGCGAAGCCACCAACACAUUCCUAAACCCCAAAACAUCUUUUACCUCCACCCUGAAUCUCCACCAUUUCUUCAGCCCACAAACCCAUCUCCCAUCUCUCUCUCUCUCUCUCUCUCUCUCUCUCACUUCCAUCAGAAAUUUAGUGAUCUUCACUUCAUCAUCAUAUGCUCUCAGAGCCCAAUAGAAAAAAAAGUAGAUUAUGGAAUUGCCAACCUCGGUUUCUUCUCUUCUCCGCUCUCCCAAUAGUUUACCACCAUUCAAAUGCUUCGAAUCCUAUUCUUCUUCUCGAAAUAUCAAUCGGCUGAGGAUGGGUAGACGCGGCGUCGUUCCGUCGAGCGCCUCUGUGAAGAUGGUUUCCAACGGGUACGUGAGGAGAGACAGCUACAGCGGUUAUAGUAACAGGAUUUACAAAAGGGUCGAUUCUUGUUUGGUGAUUCCUCCACCCAAAGGCAAGAAACCAACUGCAAUCAUCGAAUUCUUGGGUGGUGCCUUCAUUGGAGCGGUUCCUGAAGUUACCUACAGCUAUCUAAUCGAGCUUUUAGCAAAUGAAGGUUUUCUAAUUAUAUCGGUUCCGUACAAUGUGACAUUUGAUCAUGCACAAGCUACUAGAGAAAUUUAUGAGAGGUUCAAUUCCUGCUUGGAUACCAUUUUAACAUCAGGAUUGCCUGAUGCCAGCCUAUCGGCUACUGAGCUAGCUUGCCUUCCUCUGUAUUCCGUUGGCCACAGCAAUGGGGCUCUACUCCAAGUACUCAAAGGAAGUUAUUUCUCUGAGAAGAUACCCAAGGCUAAUGCCAUAAUCUCGUACAACAACCGGCCAGCAACGGAGGCGGUGCCUUACUUUGAGCAGAUGGGUCCUCUGGUCAGGCAGGUGAUGCCCAUUGUGGAAGCAUCUCCAGCAUAUUCAUUAGCCCAGAAUGCCUCUGAUGCAUGGAAAGGGCUUCUUGAUAUGGCUGGAACAAUGAUAUUGGACAACGAUCAGGAAACAUUGGUUUCAUUGACCAACUUUGUGGAUCAGUUGCCUUCUGUGAUGAAUCAGGUCACACAAGGAAUUUCAGAGUUCAGGCCAACUCCCUCUGAGAAUCGUGAAUGCUUCAAGAACUCAUACAAUGUCCAACGAACCCUACUGGUCAAGUUCAAUUUUGAUGCUAUUGAUGAGACAGAUUUGCUUGAAGAAAUACUGAAGCCCCGUGUGGAGUCUAUAGGUGGAACAUUAGAGAAGGUUUCACUGAAUGGUAACCAUAUCACUCCUUGCAUUCAGGAACCAAAAUGGCAAGUAGGUAACUUGUACACUCCAGCAGAUGCCAUUGCUCAGGGCCUCAAGACUCUUUCACUGAGUGAAACUAGGGUCCUUUCCAGAACGAUCACCAACUGGUUUCGAGGUCUUGAAGACUUAUCUUUAUGAAAAACAAAAGAUGAGCCUGGGCUGAUAAUAUGUACAGUCAACUUCUGGUUAUCCUGUUGUCUCUGCUGCUGCUCCAAGGAAUUUAGCCUACAAUCCUGGAUAAAAAUCUUCCAUUUUCAGCUUCAAUCUCAGUGAAUGCCUGUUCUCUUGAGAAACUGAUGCUAGAGCUCUGUCUAAAGUGGGAUGCAGAGAACAACCUUUAACCAAAUAGCCUGCACUGAUAGGAACCUUUGGAGGAACUAGGAGAUGACUCUGCUCCAUGAAUUUGGAAGAGAGGCAAGCCAAUUAAUUGAUUGGGUAGCAAAAUAUGGUCAGCAGUUGCUGUCUGUUUUAAUGUACAACUCAUGUUCACUAUGGUAAUAUUCUAUGCUUGGAUGUUUGGAGUGGAGUUCAAGAUGCAUGUACUACUUGGUUUCUACCGUUCAUAGUCAUACAGGCUUACCCAUGCUUGAAUUGGGUAGCCAAAUCUAGCAAGUUUUUUUUCCCUUUUUAUGUAUACAAAUUUUGUACUCGCGCAUAUAUGGAGUUGUGAGUCAAGAUGUAUAUUCACUUGUUUUUUUAUUCAAAGAAAUUUCUAUUCACUCUAUA